RNAcentral lists this transfer RNA (71 nucleotides) under Dicentrarchus labrax (European seabass). Its description in RNAcentral is "tRNA-Met". It matches the Rfam family "tRNA". Rfam says of the family: Transfer RNA (tRNA) molecules are approximately 80 nucleotides in length. Their secondary structure includes four short double-helical elements and three loops (D, anti-codon, and T loops). Further hydrogen bonds mediate the characteristic L-shaped molecular structure. tRNAs have two regions of fundamental functional importance: the anti-codon, which is responsible for specific mRNA codon recognition, and the 3' end, to which the tRNAs corresponding amino acid is attached (by aminoacyl-tRNA synthetases). tRNAs cope with the degeneracy of the genetic code in two manners: having more than one tRNA (with a specific anti-codon) for a particular amino acid; and 'wobble' base-pairing, i.e. permitting non-standard base-pairing at the 3rd anti-codon position. The record is from RNAcentral. Lineage: Eukaryota; Metazoa; Chordata; Actinopteri; Moronidae. RNAcentral also lists the same sequence under 1 other name.
AGUAGGGUCAGCUAACGUCAAGCUAUUGGGCCCAUACCCCGAUCACGAUGGUUCAACUCCGUCCCCUACUA